UACGGAGGGUGCGAGCGUUGUCCGGAAUCAUUGGGCGUAAAGAGCGUGUAGGCGGCCAGAAAAGUCCGCUGUGAAAACUCGAGGCUCAACUUCGAGCUGUCGGUGGAAACUUUCUGGCUAGAGUCCGGAAGAGGAGAAUGGAAUUCCUGGUGUAGCGGUGAAAUGCGCAGAUAUCAGGAAGAACACCCGUGGCGAAGGCGGUUCUCUGGGACGGUACUGACGCUGAGACGCGAAAGCGUGGGGAGCGAACAGG
Molecule: ribosomal RNA, 253 nt
Filed under: uncultured bacterium
Lineage: Bacteria
Description: partial 16S ribosomal RNA
Rfam family: Bacterial small subunit ribosomal RNA
Source: RNAcentral